This is a non-coding RNA of Acanthosepion pharaonis, 114 nucleotides long. NCBI's taxonomy places the organism in Eukaryota, Metazoa, Mollusca, Cephalopoda, Sepiida, Sepiidae. The record is from the annotation of a GenBank genome assembly.
UUACGACCAUAUCACGUUGAAACGCCGAUUCCUAAACGAUCACCAAAGUUAAGCAUCAUCGAGCCUGGUCAAUACCUAAAUGGGUGACCGUUUGGGAAGACCAGGUGCCGUAAG